RNAcentral lists this non-coding RNA (31 nucleotides) under Mus musculus (house mouse). The record is from RNAcentral. Lineage: Eukaryota; Metazoa; Chordata; Mammalia; Rodentia; Muridae.
UGUUGAUAUGCAGAGUCACUAAAUGCCAGAC